UACGUAGGGGGCAAGCGUUGUCCGGAAUCAUUGGGCGUAAAGAGCGUGUAGGCGGCCCGAUAAGUCCGCUGUGAAAGUCCAGGGCUCAACCCUGGAAUGCCGGUGGAUACUGUCGGGCUCGAAUCCGGAAGAGGUGAGUGGAAUUCCUGGUGUAGCGGUGAAAUGCGCAGAUAUCGGGAGGAAUACCUAUGGCGAAAGCAGGCUACUGGACCAUCACUGACGCUGAUCUGCGAAAGCUAGGGGAGCAAACAGG
Molecule: ribosomal RNA, 253 nt
Filed under: uncultured bacterium
Lineage: Bacteria
Description: partial 16S ribosomal RNA
Rfam family: Bacterial small subunit ribosomal RNA
Source: RNAcentral